Molecule: ribosomal RNA, 253 nt
Filed under: uncultured bacterium
Lineage: Bacteria
Description: partial 16S ribosomal RNA
Rfam family: Bacterial small subunit ribosomal RNA
Source: RNAcentral
UACGUAGGGCGCAAGCGUUGUCCGGAAUUAUUGGGCGUAAAGAGCUCGUAGGCGGCUUGUCACGUCGGGUGUGAAAGCCCGGGGCUUAACCCCGGGUCUGCAUUCGAUACGGGCUAGCUAGAGUGUGGUAGGGGAGAUCGGAAUUCCUGGUGUAGCGGUGAAAUGCGCAGAUAUCAGGAGGAACACCGGUGGCGAAGGCGGGUCUCUGGGCCGAAACUGACGCUGAGGAGCGAAAGCGUGGGGAGCGAACAGG